RNAcentral lists this ribosomal RNA (421 nucleotides) under uncultured bacterium. Its description in RNAcentral is "bacterial SSU rRNA". It matches the Rfam family "Bacterial small subunit ribosomal RNA", at positions 29 to 496 of the family's 1533-position model. The record is from RNAcentral.
AACGAACGCUGGCGGCAGGCCUAACACAUGCAAGUCGAGCGAGAUCUUCGGAUCUAGCGGCGGACGGGUGAGUAACGCGUGGGGAUGUGCCCUUUGCUACGGAAUAGUCCCGGGAAACUGGGUUUAAUACCGUAUGUGCCCUUCGGGGGAAAGAUUUAUCGGCAAAGGAUCAACCCGCGUUGGAUUAGGUAGUUGGUGGGGUAAUGGCCUACCAAGCCGACGAUCCAUAGCUGGUUUGAGAGGAUGAUCAGCCACACUGGGACUGAGACACGGCCCAGACUCCUACGGGAGGCAGCAGUGGGGAAUCUUAGACAAUGGGGCAACCCUGAUCUAGCCAUGCCGCGUGAACGAUGAAGGCCUUAGGGUUGUAAAGUUCUUUCAGCUGGGAAGAUAAUGACGGUACCAGCAGAAGAAGCCCCGG